UCUGGCGGCAGUAGCGCGGUGGUCCCACCUGACCCCAUGCCGAACUCAGAAGUGAAACGCCGUAGCGCCGAUGGUAGUGUGGGGUCU
Molecule: ribosomal RNA, 87 nt
Filed under: Escherichia coli
Lineage: Bacteria; Pseudomonadati; Pseudomonadota; Gammaproteobacteria; Enterobacterales; Enterobacteriaceae
Also listed under: 429 other names
Source: RNAcentral